Long non-coding RNA from Chinchilla lanigera (long-tailed chinchilla), 392 nucleotides. RefSeq lists it as uncharacterized. Lineage: Eukaryota; Metazoa; Chordata; Mammalia; Rodentia; Chinchillidae. The transcript is spliced from 2 exons. The record is from RefSeq and is a predicted model, not a curated record.
UUUCAGAUAAAUGGAGAAUUCAGAGUCGAACCAUCCUAGACCUAAAAAAGGAAAGAAAAACUCAAAGAAUUUGAAACAAAAUUCUAAUAACGAGGCAACUAGGAGCAUGACCCCUCAGAUGGCUCAUGAAUUUGAAGAGCUCUUCGAACACACACACUGCCAAAUUGAGAGCCAUCCCCACCGCUAUCUCAACAUCUAUAACCCCACCCUACGUGAACUUCUUUUCUUACUCCGAUUGAUUUUUCUACACUAAGUGGGAAACACCACCACUAUUUUGUUUGGGGAGCCUCUGCCUCUGUUAGCAACUUUGUUUGGGACCCCCUUUUUAGCAUCACCACCUGCUCCAUCAUGUAGAAUGAAGCAGAAAUAAAUUAAUAAACAUGAAUGCUGUA